CAGCAGCGCGGGAAUACGUAGGUGGCAAGCGUUGUCCGGAAUUAUUGGGCGUAAAGGGCUCGCAGGCGGUUUCUUAAGUCUGAUGUGAAAGCCCCCGGCUCAACCGGGGAGGGUCAUUGGAAACUGGGAAACUUGAGUGCAGAAGAGGAGAGUGGAAUUCCACGUGUAGCGGUGAAAUGCGUAGAGAUGUGGAGGAACACCGGUGGCGAAGGCGACUCUCUGGUCUGUAACUGACGCUGAGGUGCGAAAGCGUGGGGAGCAAACAGGAUUAGAUACCCCAGUAGUCCCUGUCUCUUAUACA
This 301-nucleotide ribosomal RNA is filed under the name uncultured bacterium. RNAcentral describes it as "partial 16S ribosomal RNA". It matches the Rfam family "Bacterial small subunit ribosomal RNA", at positions 509 to 808 of the family's 1533-position model. The record is from RNAcentral.